This 551-nucleotide ribosomal RNA is filed under the name uncultured bacterium. RNAcentral describes it as "bacterial SSU rRNA". It matches the Rfam family "Bacterial small subunit ribosomal RNA", at positions 355 to 896 of the family's 1533-position model. The record is from RNAcentral.
UGGGGAAUUUUUCGCAAUGGGCGCAAGCCUGACGAAGCAACGCCGCGUGGAGGAUGAAGGCCUUCGGGUCGUAAACUCCUGUCGACUGGGACGAAAGCAGUCUGGGCUAAUAUCCCGGGCGGUUGACUGUACCGGUGGAGGAAGCCACGGCUAACUCUGUGCCAGCAGCCGCGGUAAUACAGAGGUGGCAAGCGUUGUUCGGAAUUACUGGGCGUAAAGGGCGCGUAGGCGGCUCGACAAGUCCCGCGUGAAAUCCCCCGGCUCAACUGGGGAAUUGCGCGGGAAACUGUCGGACUUGAGUUCGGGAGAGGGAAGCGGAAUUCCGGGUGUAGCGGUGAAAUGCGUAGAUAUCCGGAGGAACACCGGUGGCGAAGGCGGCUUCCUGGACCGACACUGACGCUGAGGCGCGAAAGCUAGGGGAGCAAACGGGAUUAGAUACCCCGGUAGUCCUAGCUGUAAACGAUGAGCACUUGGUGUCGGGGGUAUUGAGUCCCCUGGUGCCGGAGUUAACACGUUAAGUGCUCCGCCUGGGGAGUACGGUCGCAAGACUG